RNAcentral lists this ribosomal RNA (802 nucleotides) under uncultured Glomus. Its description in RNAcentral is "SSU rRNA". It matches the Rfam family "Eukaryotic small subunit ribosomal RNA", at positions 314 to 1111 of the family's 1831-position model. Lineage: Eukaryota; Fungi; Glomeromycota; Glomeromycetes; Glomerales; Glomeraceae. The record is from RNAcentral.
AUCAACUUUCGAUGGUAGGAUAGAGGCNUACCAUGGUGGUAACGGGUAACGGGGUGUUAGGGCACGACACCGGAGAGGGAGCNUGAGAAACGGCUACCACAUCCAAGGAUGGCAGCAGGCGCGCAAAUUACCCAAUCCCGACAUGGGGAGGUAGUGACAAUAAAUAACAAUACAGGGUUCUUUUGGAUCUUGUAAUUGGAAUGAGUACAAUUUAAAUCUCUCAACGAGGAACAAUUGGAGGGCAAGUCUGGUGCCAGCAGCCGCGGUAAUUCCAGCUCCAAUAGCGUAUAUUAAAGUUGUUGCAGUUAAAAAGCUCGUAGUUGAAUUUCGGGAUUGACACAUCGGUCGUGCCUUAAGGGGUAUGAACUGGUGUAGUCAAUUUCUCACCUUCUGGAGAACCGCGAUGCCCUUAAUUGGGUGUCGCGGGGAUCCAGGACCUUUACUUUGAAAAAAUUAGAGUGUUUAAAGCAGGCAUUUUGCUUGAAUACAUUAGCAUGGAAUAAUAAAAUAGGACGGCAUGAUUCUAUUUUGUUGGUUUCUAGGAUCACCGUAAUGAUUAAUAGGGAUAGUUGGGGGCAUUAGUAUUCAAUUGUCAGAGGUGAAAUUCUUGGAUUUAUUGAAGACUAACUACUGCGAAAGCAUUUGCCAAGGAUGUUUUCAUUAAUCAAGAACGAAAGUUAGGGGAUCGAAGACGAUCAGAUACCGUCGUAGUCUUAACCAUAAACUAUGCCGACUAGGAAUCAGACGAUGUUAAUUUUUUAAUGACUCGUUUGGCACCUUACGGGAAACCAAAGUGUUUGGG